GGCCCAAUUCUGAAGUAAGGUAGACUAGUAAGGUCAGUUGAUCCUACUAUUCUACUGUACUUCGAAAUCGGGCCCAA
RNAcentral lists this microRNA precursor (77 nucleotides) under Haemonchus contortus (barber pole worm). RNAcentral describes it as "microRNA hco-mir-5928c precursor". It matches the Rfam family "mir-5928 microRNA precursor family". Lineage: Eukaryota; Metazoa; Nematoda; Chromadorea; Rhabditida; Trichostrongylidae. The record is from miRBase by way of RNAcentral.